CCCCCCCCUCAAACUUCCCCACUCUCUCACAUCUCUUUCAAUUGUCCAAAUCCUAGCCGCCCCAUUUUCCUCCACCUUAAACUACCACCAAACCCUAGCCGCCUUAAACCCUUCCCCCAAACUGCCGCAGGAAAUCGCCUAAGUCAGCGGCAAAGACUAAAACCACCACAAAUCAAUCUCACUCUCUCCUAUACUCCUACUAAACCCCAUCUCACAAGUCCUCACCCCCAAAAUCCUAUAAAAACCAACAAACAUACACCUAAAAUGACUGAAACCCUAGCGCUGCCCUAACUCCGCUGCCGAAAAUGGCCUAAGGCGGUGAUGAAUCUCCAAAACCACUCAAAAUCACCCCAUAACUUCCCCUUACUCUCCUGAACCUUGAUGUAUCAACCAAAUCCCCCAAAAAAACUAACCAAUAACCAUUUAUCUUAGAUCUAGGGCCUCUGAAACCCUAGAUUGUUUUUCAAAACCCUAACCCUACCUAGUUCGUCCAAAAAUCCUCUUGCCAAUAUCUCCCAUUAGGAAUCUCAGAUUCCCGAUGCGUUCAUUUGCAUGAGGGUUUUUAAGCGGCUAGAUUUAUUUUACCCGCUAUUUUCUAUUUCUUUACUAUUUUUUCUUUAUUAUUAUUGUG
This 631-nucleotide long non-coding RNA is filed under the name Nicotiana benthamiana. Its description in RNAcentral is "long non-coding RNA (NBEN_LNC034693)". Lineage: Eukaryota; Viridiplantae; Streptophyta; Magnoliopsida; Solanales; Solanaceae. The record is from RNAcentral.